UACUUGUACCGACUGGAUGAGCAGCGAACGGGUGAGUAACGCGUGGGGAAUCUGCCUUUGAGCGGGGGACAACAUUUGGAAACGAAUGCUAAUACCGCAUAAAAACUUUAAACACAAGUUUUAAGUUUGAAAGAUGCAAUUGCAUCACUCAAAGAUGAUCCCGCGUUGUAUUAGCUAGUUGGUGAGGUAAAGGCUCACCAAGGCGAUGAUACAUAGCCGACCUGAGAGGGUGAUCGGCCACAUUGGGACUGAGACACGGCCCAAACUCCUACGGGAGGCAGCAGUAGGGAAUCUUCGGCAAUGGACGAAAGUCUGACCGAGCAACGCCGCGUGAGUGAAGAAGGUUUUCGGAUCGUAAAACUCUGUUGGUAGAGAAGAACGUUGGUGAGAGUGGAAAGCUCAUCAAGUGACGGUAACUACCCAGAAAGGGACGGCUAACUACGUGCCAGCAGCCGCGGUAAUACGUAGGUCCCGAGCGUUGUCCGGAUUUAUUGGGCGUAAAGCGAGCGCAGGUGGUUUAUUAAGUCUGGUGUAAAAGGCAGUGGCUCAACCAUUGUAUGCAUUGGAAACUGGUAGACUUGAUUGCAGGAGAGGAGAGUGGAAUUCCUGGGGAACCCGGGGGGGGAAAACGG
This 632-nucleotide ribosomal RNA is filed under the name Lactococcus lactis. Its description in RNAcentral is "bacterial SSU rRNA". It matches the Rfam family "Bacterial small subunit ribosomal RNA", at positions 77 to 700 of the family's 1533-position model. The record is from RNAcentral. Lineage: Bacteria; Bacillati; Bacillota; Bacilli; Lactobacillales; Streptococcaceae.